RNAcentral lists this ribosomal RNA (62 nucleotides) under Melampodium sinaloense. RNAcentral describes it as "partial 26S ribosomal RNA". It matches the Rfam family "Eukaryotic large subunit ribosomal RNA", at positions 1 to 59 of the family's 3401-position model. The record is from RNAcentral. Lineage: Eukaryota; Viridiplantae; Streptophyta; Magnoliopsida; Asterales; Asteraceae.
UCGCGACCCCAGGUCAGGCGGGACUACCCGCUGAGUUUAAGCAUAUCAAUAAGUGGAGGAAA